GCUUCGUUAGCGUAGUUGGAUUAUCGCAUCCGUCUAAUACACGGUGCCUCAGUUAGAACUGAGUAUUACACAACGGAAGGUCACUGGUUCGAGCCCAGUACGGAGCA
Molecule: transfer RNA, 107 nt
Filed under: Mycosarcoma maydis (corn smut)
Lineage: Eukaryota; Fungi; Basidiomycota; Ustilaginomycetes; Ustilaginales
Description: tRNA-Ile for anticodon AAU
Rfam family: tRNA
About the family: Transfer RNA (tRNA) molecules are approximately 80 nucleotides in length. Their secondary structure includes four short double-helical elements and three loops (D, anti-codon, and T loops).
Source: RNAcentral